Molecule: transfer RNA, 80 nt
Filed under: Saccharomyces cerevisiae YJM326
Lineage: Eukaryota; Fungi; Ascomycota; Saccharomycetes; Saccharomycetales; Saccharomycetaceae
Description: tRNA-Leu
Source: RNAcentral
CGUCAGUAUGACAAUACGUCAUCCUAAACGUUCAUACUCAGGUAUCGUAAGAUGCAAGAGUUCGAAUCUCUUAGCAACCA